UCAGUUCCCUCCGCGUCAACUGUUGAAACCUGCUCCCUUCGCAAUGAGGUCUGACCGGAAUCCUCUCGACGCCUUUACAACCGACUCCGAAGCUGACGACUUUGUCAUGGAUAAGUUCCACUAAUGAGACCACAGCACCGGCCCUGGAAUGAACCGCCAAUCUCUGCUACUUUGUUGGCAGUAAGAAUACACGGAUGCAUCGGUUUCCUUCGUGACGAAUUGGUUUCUGCUUGAAAGCACAUUAUUUUGUUGGUGUAAAAUCCUACUUGUUGUAAUUCCACAGAGGUUGAAUGACAAAAAGGCAAAUGCUCAUUUAAGCAUACUCGCAAUAUCUUGGCAUUCCUUUCGUGUGAUUUACUUGGAUGAUUAGAAGUGAGAUUAACCUGUUUGUACCGUUGUUUUUUUUUCAACCCAAUGCCGGUUGCAGAGCACCGGAAUACUGAGUGAGUGUGAUGAGCAACGCAAGUGAAAUAAAUCAAAGAGAGAACAAAAAAAAGAAUCGUCCAAGUGACAUUGUAGUCAAACAGGAUCCUAAGAACAUUGUCUCAAACAGGAGAUGGGGAAAUAAUGUAUAUAUUUUUCUACCCAGUUUCUUAAAGCUCAGAUUGCCCACAACGGUUUGGCUCUUCAUGUCUGGAUGUUGAGAGAUCCUCCUCUGAAACUUCUGCAGCCAGCCUUCCCACUAAAGAAAAAAUGAAAUUGGCUGUUCAGAAAAUUGAAGAGUUAUAUUUGAAAAACCCAUGGCAGGUUUUUCAGAAGAAGUGAAUAAUCAACAGAAUGUAAUGACACUUAUUUGGUUGGGUGUACGUAUUAGGGCGGUGCCAGGAUGCUACAUCUUGAAAGCGCAGCAGAUAAGGCUGAAAUGCUAAAGUAUCACAAGGGACAGGAGGGGAAAUGUUCAUUUUUUUCAAGGUAGCCAAAGUUCUGCAGAUGUCUAGCAAUAGAAUAGGUUUUUCAGUUCAGUAUGGUGAUAUUGUAUUGUAAACCAACUAUGUACAUAACAAGUACAGUAUGGCCUGAAUCAAAGCCUUUAUUUUCCAAAACAUAUUUUUGUGUCACACUGUAAACCUUGUCUCCAUAAUAUCAUGUAAAUUGGAUUAAUAGAGAACAGGACUAAUGUCAUCACGUCUCCCUUUGUUGAAUACCAGCCACAGUCCUUUGUUGCGUAUCAUUCCUUGUGUUAUCCUUUGUUGCUGUCUCUGCUGUCAACUACAGCAUGAAUACAAAGAUGUGUAAAAAAUAAACAGAAUAGAAAUAAUGAAA
This is a non-coding RNA of Gasterosteus aculeatus aculeatus (three-spined stickleback), 1263 nucleotides long. NCBI's taxonomy places the organism in Eukaryota, Metazoa, Chordata, Actinopteri, Perciformes, Gasterosteidae. The record is from RefSeq and is a predicted model, not a curated record.